Non-coding RNA from Solanum lycopersicum (tomato), 2771 nucleotides. The record is from Rfam. NCBI's taxonomy places the organism in Eukaryota, Viridiplantae, Streptophyta, Magnoliopsida, Solanales, Solanaceae.
CAUCCCCAGGUCAGGCGACAUUAGCCGCUGAGUUUAAGCAUAUUAAUAAGCGAAGGAAAAGAAACUUACAAGGAUUACCCUAAUAACGGCGAGCAAACCGGGAACAACCCAGCCUUAUAAUCGGGCAUCUCUGUCAUCCGAAUUGUUGUUUGGAGAAGUGUCCUCAAUGGCGGAUCGGGCCCAAGUCCCCUGGAAGGGGGCGCCGAACAGGGUGAGAUCCCUGUCAUGCCCGGACCCUGUCGCACCACGAGGCUAUGUCUACGAGUUGCGUUGUUUUGGAAUGCAGCCUAAAUCGGGGGGUGAAUUCUGUCCAAGGCUAAAUACUUGCGAGAGACCGAUAGCGAACAACUACUGCAAGGGAAAGAUGAAAAGGAAUUUGAAAAGAGAGUCAAAGAGUGCUUGAAAUUAUCGGGAGGGAAGAGGAUGGGGGCCGGCGAUGCGCCACGAUCGGAUGUGGAACGGUGAUGAGCCGGUCCGUCGAUCGACUCGGGGCGUGGACCAACGUGGUUUGGGGGGGAGGACAAAGCCCGGGCUCUCGAUACAACCAUGGAACACCGUAUCCCCGAUUGUGGAAGGCAGCGCGUGCCUCCGGCGUGCUUCGGCAUCUGCACACUCCGGACCCUGGCUUGUGGGCUCCCCAUUCGACCCGUCUUGAAACACGGACCGAGGAAUCUGACAUGUGUGUGAGUCAACGGUCGAGUAAACCCGUAAGGCGUAAGGAAGCUGAUUGGUGGGAUCCCCAUGAGGGGUGCACCGCCGACCGACCCUGAUCUUCUGAGAAGGGUUCGACUGUGAGCAAACCUGUUGGGACCCAAAAGAUGGUGAACUAUGCCUGAGCGGGGCGAAGCAAGAGGAAACUCUAGUGGAGGUCCGCAGCGAUAGUGACGUGCAAAUCGAUCGUCUGACUUGGGUAUAGGGGCGAAAGACUAAUCGAAUCGUCUAAUAGCUGGUUCCAUCCGAAGUUUCCCUGAGUAUAGCUGAUGCUCGCGUGCGAGUUCUAUCGGGUAAAGUCAAUGAUUAGAGGCCUCGGCGGCGCAACGCCCUCGACGUAUUCUCAAAUUUCAAAUAGGUAGGCGAUGCGACUUCUUUGUUGAGCCGUGCCACGAAAUCAAGAUAUCCAAGUGCGCCAUUUUUGGUAAGCCGAACUGGCGAUGCAGGAUGAAUCGGAAGCCGGGUUAUGGUGCGAAACUGAGCACUAACCUAGAUCCCACAAAGGGUGUUGGUCAAUUAAGACAGCCGGACGGUGGUCAUGGAAGUCGAAAUCCGCUAAGGAGUGUGUUACAACUCGCCUGCCGAAUCAACUAUCCCCGAAAAUGGAUGGAGCUUAAGCGCGCGAUCUACACCCGGCCGUCAGGGAAAGUGCCAGACCCCGAUGAGUAGGAGGGCGCGGCGGUUCGGUCGUUGUCAAGCGUGGCAUGCCAUCAUAGCCCUUGGAAAAUAGAUACGGUCGGACGACGUUGGGCGUGGCAUGCCAUCAUCGCCUUUGGACUAGCAGACACAGUCAGACGACAUCAGGCGUCGCAUGCCAUCGUCGCCUUUGGACUAGCUGACACGGUCGGAUGACGUCGGGCGUGGCAUGCCAUCUUCGCCCUUGGGCAGCACAGACGGUCGGAAGGCGUCGGGCGUGGCAUGCCAUAAUCGCCCUUGGACAGCACAGACGGUCGGCCGUCGUCGAGCAUGGCAUGCCGUCAUAGCCCUUGGACAGCACAAACGGUCGGCCACUGUUGGACGUGCCUACACACAACGAUCGGUCGUGGACAUCCCGCAUAGAUCGUGGAUUGCGCAACAAUGUUCGAUAACUAGACGAAACAUGCAGAUGUUCAUGACGUACAUGGAUCAAAGGAUUUUGAAAGAACCCCCAUGCAUAACAAACAUAUUCAUCGACUUUUUUAUCUAUUCUCAAAUGACUUGAGAGGUGUAGUAUAAGUGGGAGCCAAAAGGCGUAAGUGAAAUACCACUACUUUUAAUGUUAUUUUACUUAUUCCGUGAAUCGGAAGCGGGGCACUGCCCCUCUUUUUGGACCCAAGUCUCGCUUUGCGGGCCGAUCCGGGAAGGAGACAUUGUCAGGUGGGGAGUUUUGCUGGGGCGGCACAUCUGUUAAAAGAUAACGCAGGUGUCCUAAGAUGAGCUCAACGAGAAAAGAAAUCUCGUGUGUAAGAGAAAGGUAAAAGCUCGUUAUAUUCUAAUUUCCAGUACGAAUACUAAACGUGAAAGAGUGGCCUUACGAUCCUUUAGACCUUUGUAAUUCGAAGCUAGAGCUUUCAGAAAAGUUACCACAGGAUAAUUGGCUUGUGGCAGCCAAGGGUUCACAACGACGUUGCUUUAUUAUCCUUCGAUGUCGGCUCUUUUGGUCACUGUGAAGCAUAAUUGACCAAAUGUUUUAUUGUUCACCCACCAAUAGGGAACGUGAGUUGGGUUUAGACCGUCAUGAGACGGGUUAGUUUUACCUUUGAAAAGCCAGUGGCGCGAAGCUACCGUGUGCUGGAUUAUGACUGAAUGCCUUUAAAUCAAAAUCCGGACAAGAAGCGAUCCAUGCGCCCGCCGUCCGCUUGCCGACCCGCAGUAGGGGCCUAUGGCCCCCAAGAGCACGUGUCGUUGGCUAAGUCGUCGCAACAUAAGUGCCGCAGUGACCGUCUUGAAGUACAAUUUCCAUGGAGCAGCGGGUAGAAUCCUUUGCAGACGACUUAAAUAUGCGACAGGGUAUUGUAAGUGGCAGAGUGGCCUUACUGCCACGAUCCACUAAGAUUCAGCCCUUUGCCACUCCUAUUAGU